This 253-nucleotide ribosomal RNA is filed under the name uncultured bacterium. RNAcentral describes it as "partial 16S ribosomal RNA". It matches the Rfam family "Bacterial small subunit ribosomal RNA", at positions 524 to 776 of the family's 1533-position model. The record is from RNAcentral.
UACGUAGGGUGCGAGCGUUAAUCGGAAUUACUGGGCGUAAAGCGUGCGCAGGCGGUUAUGCAAGACAGAUGUGAAAUCCCCGGGCUUAACCUGGGACCUGCACUUGUGACUGCAUAGCUAGAGUACGGUAGAGGGGGAUGGAAUUCCGCGUGUAGCAGUGAAAUGCGUAGAUAUGCGGAGGAACACCGAUGGCGAAGGCAAUCCCCUGGACCUGUACUGACGCUCAGGCACGAAAGCGUGGGGAGCAAACAGG